UUUAUGCAGCUGGGUGUUUGUAGUGAUGCUACUGUGUAAGGUUCAGCGCACAUGCACAGAAUUGGAUUACUUCCGGUUGGCCACCGGAAGUUUUCCUCUUGUGCAUGUGCAGGAACUGAAACCUAAAAACCUGACUGCUGAAU
Long non-coding RNA from Octopus sinensis (East Asian common octopus), 143 nucleotides. RefSeq lists it as uncharacterized. Lineage: Eukaryota; Metazoa; Mollusca; Cephalopoda; Octopoda; Octopodidae. The record is from RefSeq and is a predicted model, not a curated record. The transcript is spliced from 3 exons.